This 23-nucleotide non-coding RNA is filed under the name Arabidopsis thaliana (thale cress). Lineage: Eukaryota; Viridiplantae; Streptophyta; Magnoliopsida; Brassicales; Brassicaceae. The record is from RNAcentral.
UGGAGAGUGUUGACCAAUUUUCA